CCUACGGGAGGCUGCAGUCGAGAAUCAUUCACAAUGGGGGAAACUCUGAUGGUGCGACGCCGCGUGGGGGAAUGAAGGUCUUCGGAUUGUAAACCCCUGUCAUGUGGGAGCAAAUUAAAAAGAUAGUACCACAAGAGGAAGAGACGGCUAACUCUGGGCCCGCAGCCGCGGUAAUACAGAGGUCUCAAGCGUUGUUCGGAAUCACCGGGCGUAAAGCGUGCGUAGGCUGUUUCGUAAGUCGUGUGUGAAAGGCGCGGGCUCAACCCGCGGACGGCACAUGAUACUGCGUGACUAGAGUAAAGGAAGGGGAACCGGAAUUCUCGGUGUAGCAGUGAAAUGCGUAGAUAUCGAGAGGAACACUCGUGGCGAAGGCGGGUUCCUGGACAUUAACUGACGCUGAGGCACGAAGGCGAGGGGAGCGAAAGGGAUUAGAUACCCUUGUAGUC
This 446-nucleotide ribosomal RNA is filed under the name uncultured bacterium. RNAcentral describes it as "partial 16S ribosomal RNA". It matches the Rfam family "Bacterial small subunit ribosomal RNA", at positions 338 to 795 of the family's 1533-position model. The record is from RNAcentral.